This 318-nucleotide long non-coding RNA is filed under the name Salmo salar (Atlantic salmon). Its description in RNAcentral is "lncRNA (ENSSSAG00000121723.1)". The record is from RNAcentral. Lineage: Eukaryota; Metazoa; Chordata; Actinopteri; Salmoniformes; Salmonidae.
AUCUGUUUAAUUGUAAUGUAAUUUCCAUUGUAGAUAAUAUGGUGAGGGCUCCAGCUCCCCAAAAUGAUGAGACAGACUCUUUAAACACACAGGUUGGCAAUGGGACUUUAAUUUAUUCUUCAAAAAGUACCUCUAAUUGGAGGUAGUAAACUGAAGUUUACUUGAAGACCUCCAAGACCAGUUGGUCUCCCUGAAGGAACAGAUGGAUCUCUGCAACACUGUUCUGAAGGACUUGGUGGACAUGCAGGGUAUUUUAAGGGAGAAGAACCUUAGUGAUGGAUCAUUCCCUGCUCCGAAGUGACUGAUUUUACUCAUGGU